ACUCCUACGGGAGGCAGCAGUGGGGAAUAUUGGACAAUGGGCGCAAGCCUGAUCCAGCAAUGCCGCGUGGGUGAAGAAGGCCUUCGGGUUGUAAAGCCCUUUUGUACGGGAAGAAAUCAUUCGGGUUAAUACCCUGGGUGGAUGACGGUACCGUAAGAAUAAGCACCGGCUAACUUCGUGCCAGCAGCCGCGGUAAUACGAAGGGUGCAAGCGUUAAUCGGAAUUACUGGGCGUAAAGCGUGCGCAGGCGGCGCCAUAAGACAGCUGUGAAAUCCCCGGGCUUAACCUGGGAACUGCGUUUGUGACUGCGAGACUUGAGUGCGGCAGAGGGGGGUGGAAUUCCACGUGUAGCAGUGAAAUGCGUAGAGAUGUGGAGGAACACCGAUGGCGAAGGCAGCCCCCUGGGUCGACACUGACGCUCAUGCACGAAAGCGUGGGGAGCGAACAGGAUUAGAUACCCUGGUAGUC
RNAcentral lists this ribosomal RNA (468 nucleotides) under uncultured bacterium. RNAcentral's name for it is "bacterial SSU rRNA". It matches the Rfam family "Bacterial small subunit ribosomal RNA", at positions 335 to 795 of the family's 1533-position model. The record is from RNAcentral.